GCUGUUUCAGCCGAUGGAAACAGAAAGCUAUAUCGCUUUCGCCGAGACACAAGCUCUGAUGAUCCUGCCUUUUUUGAGGGGCUCUUUGUGGCUGAAGACGUUGCGGUGUCUAGAUUUGUGGAAACCAUACAGAAAGCAGUGAGAAAUGCAAGUUUCAAUCAUAACUUGACCAAAAAGUUGUCACAAAAAGAACCAUAUAUAUCCAUAUAUGUCCGACCUUGAUUUCCUCCUUGACUUCUACCAACCAGACACAGGGAAAAGGCACAUGUGGGGACUCCCAGUGGACAGCAGCGAGGGAGACAUCAAGGAGGGCUUCCAAAUUGGAUGAAGAGGGGAUGGAGGUUGCAGUGUGUCGCCACGGAUUCCUUCUGAAAGCUCUUAAU
This is a long non-coding RNA of Onychostoma macrolepis, 383 nucleotides long. RefSeq lists it as uncharacterized. NCBI's taxonomy places the organism in Eukaryota, Metazoa, Chordata, Actinopteri, Cypriniformes, Cyprinidae. The transcript is spliced from 3 exons. The record is from RefSeq and is a predicted model, not a curated record.